CCUACGGGAGGCAGCAGUAGGGAAUCUUCCACAAUGGGCGAAAGCCUGAUGGAGCAACGCCGCGUGGGUGAAGAAGGUCUUCGGAUCGUAAAACCCUGUUGUGAGAGAAGAAGGUGCGUGAGGGUAACUGUUCACGUUUCGACGGUAUCUAACCGGAAAGCCACGGCUAACUACGUGCCAGCAGCCGCGGUAAUACGUAGGUGGCAAGCGUUAUCCGGAUUUAUUGGGCGUAAAGGGAACGCAGGCGGUCUUUUAAGUCUGAUGUGAAAGCCUUCGGCUUAACCGGUUUACUGCAUUGGAAACUGGGAGACUUGAGUGCAGAAGAGGAGAGUGGAACUCCAUGUGUAGCGGUGAAAUGCGUAGAUAUAUGGAAGAACUCCGAUGGCGAAGGUAGCAUACCGGAGCCCAACUGACGCUGAAGCACGAAAGCGUGGGUAGCGAACAGGAUUAGAUACCCCUGUAGUC
This 465-nucleotide ribosomal RNA is filed under the name uncultured bacterium. RNAcentral describes it as "partial 16S ribosomal RNA". It matches the Rfam family "Bacterial small subunit ribosomal RNA", at positions 338 to 795 of the family's 1533-position model. The record is from RNAcentral.